RNAcentral lists this long non-coding RNA (262 nucleotides) under Vigna radiata. RNAcentral's name for it is "long non-coding RNA (VRAD_LNC004822)". Lineage: Eukaryota; Viridiplantae; Streptophyta; Magnoliopsida; Fabales; Fabaceae. The record is from RNAcentral.
AAGAAAAAUGCAUGAGAAAAAGAAAGGAAAAGAAGAAAAGAGAAAAAACAGGUAAAGUGAGCUCAAUGUAAAAGGAAAAAGGGAAGAAGUUGGGAAUGAAAUAGAUUGGUUAAAAGGAGAGUGUGCUUGAACUUUGAAUGAUGAUUUAAAAUCUCUUAACUCAAGGAUUUUGUAUUCUAGAAAAACCAAUUCUUCUUGAUAGUCCAGCCUUAUUACAAGCCCUGGAAAAAGUCCUUGUGAUGACAUUUGCUUGUGAAUAUUU